This is a long non-coding RNA of Mauremys reevesii (Reeves's turtle), 337 nucleotides long. RefSeq lists it as uncharacterized. The transcript has 3 exons. The record is from RefSeq and is a predicted model, not a curated record. NCBI's taxonomy places the organism in Eukaryota, Metazoa, Chordata, Testudines, Geoemydidae.
UGUACCUAUACUCAUGAACUCCACUGAGGGCAAGUAGUCGGGGCAGUUUACAAAAGGACACAUGAGCUGCAUGGGUUGGAUGAAGCUCAGUCCCUGUUUCCCCCUAACUCUGAAGCAUUGUGCAGCAGAGUCACAUUGUUUAGCAUGACUUAGAUGAGUCUUCUCAGGCUUCAUGUGGCAAUACAAACUAAAGAGAUUUGCCUCUCACAAAGUAGAGGAUUCCUGAGACCCAGCGCCUUACCCUGCGACACCAGUUUCAUUUGGAGCUGUGACGAUCACCUUCUCUGACUACUUUCCCUUCUACUCAGCAGUUUAAACCUCAGACUCUUUGCUCCAU